RNAcentral lists this ribosomal RNA (207 nucleotides) under uncultured bacterium. RNAcentral describes it as "partial 16S ribosomal RNA". It matches the Rfam family "Bacterial small subunit ribosomal RNA", at positions 568 to 774 of the family's 1533-position model. The record is from RNAcentral.
AGCGUAGACGGCUGUGUAAGUCUGAAGUGAAAGCCCGGGGCUCAACCCCGGGACUGCUUUGGAAACUAUGCAGCUAGAGUGUCGGAGAGGUAAGUGGAAUUCCCAGUGUAGCGGUGAAAUGCGUAGAUAUUGGGAGGAACACCAGUGGCGAAGGCGGCUUACUGGACGAUGACUGACGUUGAGGCGCGAAAGCGUGGGGAGCAAACA